RNAcentral lists this ribosomal RNA (228 nucleotides) under uncultured bacterium. RNAcentral's name for it is "partial 16S ribosomal RNA". It matches the Rfam family "Bacterial small subunit ribosomal RNA", at positions 568 to 795 of the family's 1533-position model. The record is from RNAcentral.
UGCGCAGGCGGGGCAAUUAGUCAGUGGUGAAAUCCUGCGGCUUAACCGUAGAACUGCCAUUGAUACUGUUGCUCUUGAGUAUAGUUGAGGUGGGCGGAAUAUGUAAUGUAGCGGUGAAAUGCAUAGAUAUUACAUAGAACACCGAUUGCGAAGGCAGCUCACUAAGCUAUCACUGACGCUGAGGCACGAAAGCGUGGGGAGCGAACAGGAUUAGAUACCCUGGUAGUC